Molecule: ribosomal RNA, 443 nt
Filed under: uncultured bacterium
Lineage: Bacteria
Description: bacterial SSU rRNA
Rfam family: Bacterial small subunit ribosomal RNA
Source: RNAcentral
CCUACGGGAGGCAGCAGUAGGGAAUUUUCCGCAAUGGGCGAAAGCCUGACGGAGCAAUACCGCGUGAGGGAUGAAUGCCUAUGGGUUGUAAACCUCUUUUUUCAGGGAGGAAUAAAUGACGUGUACCUGAAGAAUAAGCAUCGGCUAACUCCGUGCCAGCAGCCGCGGUAAGACGGAGGAUGCAAGUGUUAUCCGGAAUCACUGGGCGUAAAGCGUCUGUAGGUGGCUUAAUAAGUCAACUGUUAAAUCUUGAAGCUCAACUUCAAAAUCGCAGUCGAAACUAUUAGACUAGAGUAUAGUAGAGGUAAAGGGAAUUUCCAGUGGAGCGGUGAAAUGCGUAGAGAUUGGAAAGAACACCGAUGGCGAAGGCACUUUACUGGGCUAUUACUGACACUCAGAGACGAAAGCUAGGGUAGCAAAUGGGAUUAGAUACCCGUGUAGUC